CAACUUUCUUCGACGCUACUCUGAACUAACUUCUGAAUUCCUAUACAUUAUUUUUAAUGCAUCCCUUAAACAGAGCUCAGUACCAAAAGGCUGGCUCAUGGCCAAGGUAAUACCGGUGUUUAAAUCAGGUGAUAAACUUAUUCCUAGCAAUUACAGACCUAUUUCCCUCGUAAGCGCAUGUUGUAAGCUCUUGGAGCAUAUUAUCUCUAAUCACAUAUCUAACCACUUGGAAGGUCCUCAACGCGCGACUGAAGAGGAAUGGAGCUUCAUGCUCAGGAGCUCAGACCUUCUACAUCAACUCAGGGCCGUUCAGAGGGCCCACAACGCUGCGAAUAUGGGACGCUCCAGAUCCUAUCGACAUGCAAUCUCGUCAUUGAGCGAGGCCGGACACUCUCCUUCCGAGGUCACCAAAAUUCUAAAAAUUCACCGCAAGAUUGUGUACUUGGCUCUCAAAUGUGGAACUCUUAAGGACUUAACACGCAGUGGUUGUCCUGUCUCUGUGGCCACUUCUCACUUUAAUAAAAUUGCCAGGAAGAAUCCAACGCAAGCCAUGGAGAAGCAUUAAAAGGCUGGCCUUAGCAGUAAAUCUGCUGCUGACAACAAU
Molecule: long non-coding RNA, 604 nt
Organism: Dermacentor albipictus
Lineage: Eukaryota; Metazoa; Arthropoda; Arachnida; Ixodida; Ixodidae
Source: RefSeq, a predicted model, not a curated record